Molecule: ribosomal RNA, 375 nt
Filed under: uncultured organism
Description: bacterial SSU rRNA
Rfam family: Bacterial small subunit ribosomal RNA
Source: RNAcentral
CGUAGGAGGCAAGCGUUAUCCGGAUUCACUGGGCGUAAAGCGCGUGCAGGUGGCGCGGUAAGUUGGGCGUGAAAUCUCCCGGCUCAACUGGGAGAGGUCGUUCAAUACUACCGUGCUUGAGAGCAGAAGAGGAAGAUGGAAUUCCCGGUGUAGUGGUGAAAUGCGUAGAUAUCGGGAGGAACACCAGUGGCGAAGGCGAUCUUCUGGUCUGUUUCUGACACUCAGACGCGACAGCUAGGGUAGUAAACGGGAUUAGAGACCCCGGUAAUCCUAGCCGUAAACGAUGUGUAACUUGGCCGUUCGGUGGGUUAACUCCAUCAGUGCCGAAGACAAACGCGAUAAGUUCACCGCCUGGGGACUACGGCCGCAAGGUUA